GUUUAUUUGGUGGAAUUUGGUAGACACGAUAGACUUAAAAUCUAUUUCAUUUAAUGAGUACAAGUUCAAGUCUUGUAAUAAACA
This 84-nucleotide transfer RNA is filed under the name Blastocystis sp. BT-1. Its description in RNAcentral is "tRNA-Leu". It matches the Rfam family "tRNA". Rfam says of the family: Transfer RNA (tRNA) molecules are approximately 80 nucleotides in length. Their secondary structure includes four short double-helical elements and three loops (D, anti-codon, and T loops). Lineage: Eukaryota; Bigyra; Opalinata; Blastocystidae. The record is from RNAcentral. RNAcentral also lists the same sequence under 2 other names.